This is a non-coding RNA of Paramuricea clavata, 546 nucleotides long. NCBI's taxonomy places the organism in Eukaryota, Metazoa, Cnidaria, Anthozoa, Malacalcyonacea, Plexauridae. The record is from the annotation of a GenBank genome assembly.
GGAAAAACUUUUUACCCCUAAAAUGGUACAGACCGAAACUUUUUUUGGGGGGGAGGGGGGAGGUUGUUCUCCGGUCACACAUGUGGCCUUCAGCCGUUCCUAUCCCCAUCUAAGGGACCGGUCAUUAUUUAUGGUGGGGGGUGGCACCGAAGAGAAAUGUUUUUCUUGGCAAAAAUUUUGCUGACCCAACCAUUAAAAAGACAAAAAUUUGAUUACCCAACCUCAAAUAUCAAUUAAAAAAUAAUUACCCACCCUGGCCAAAAACGUUACAAAAAGAUACCAUUCAAUUGUCACACAUGUCCUUUACCACUUCUGUGACAUGAGUUUGAUAACGGCUUGUGAACUUUUCUGCAGUCUAAAGUUUCAUGUUGUCUGCACAUGUACUUUCUUUGAAAACACCAUUUCUUUUGUCAAAAUGAUCAAGAUAGUGACUCUGAUUGAUUCAUAUAUUGUAUUGACAAAUGACUGUUGACAUUGCUUUUCAGUCAACAAUAUUUUGACAGUGAGUCACGUUUUUGAAAUGACAAUAAAUUUUUAUUACCCAAC